Long non-coding RNA from Hemicordylus capensis (graceful crag lizard), 1638 nucleotides. RefSeq lists it as uncharacterized. The record is from RefSeq and is a predicted model, not a curated record. NCBI's taxonomy places the organism in Eukaryota, Metazoa, Chordata, Lepidosauria, Squamata, Cordylidae. The transcript is spliced from 4 exons.
CAACUGUAUGGCAACCCAACGUGGUAACCCAGCAUCCCCAUAGCAACCAAGCUGAGGCAAGUAGAAAAGCCUACUCAGACAGGCAGCCAUCUCAAGGCGGCUUGUCCAUGAGCUAUACAGCACCCAGAACAAAGUAUUGCUAAGAAAAAACAUUCUCUUUUAAUUCAUUGUCUUGUGCUUGUACCACACCAGCAGUCAGUCUCUAAUAAUGGACAGCUUCCAGGUACAAUAAGUAAUGUGGACAAAAGGACACAGGACCCAAGCUGAGAUAUCAAAAGUAUCAACACUAUUUUAGCUUCUUUGGAAAUUUCAAAUUUGCUUCCAGUUGUGAUAUGGAUGGAAUUCAGUAGCAGUGCUAAUUCUCUAGUGCAGGGGCCUGCGUGCUUUGCUUAAAUUAUCCUGUUGUUGAGCACCAAGUAUAUUGAUGGCAAGUCGACACGAUACAUGUUACUGUAUAUUGGUGCGGGGAGGGAUUUCCUGACUGCAAGCGCUGUUUGAUGGUGGAACUGCCUCAGGCCGUGGUUGGGCUCUUCUUCACUAAGGUUUCAAACAGAAACUGGACAGCUGUCUGUCAGGGAGGCUAUAGCAGUUUCUAGCACUGAGCCAGGGCGGCUGGAGUAAAAGAUCUCCAAGAACACAAUGGUUUAUAAACCAGGAGAAAUCCUCAGCACAUCAAAGCAGUGAAGUUCAGAGAGGAGCUUCUGCCUUCCGGAGGGAACAGAAACCUGCAAUCUUCAGCUUUAGGUCUGAAUACUUGUGUGGCACUUCACCAUGUCUUCAAGUCAUUCAGGAUGUGGUUCUUCUGGAGCACCUGGUGUCCCUCCAGUUCCAAAACCGGACAAUCCUUUUGUUCCAGUUCCAGAGAAAACUUGGCCUGAGGGGCCUCCCAAACCUAAAUAUCCUCAGCCUUUGAGGCCUCUGGUGCCUGGAAAACCUUGGCCAGAGGGCCCGCCUGCAUCUCCAGACCCUAGACAUCCACGAUCUCCAAAGCCACCGAAACCUUUAGGGCCUAACAACCCAGGACCAUUCCCUGGACCAUCCAGCCCUCCUAAGCCACCCCUCCCUGAUGAUCCUUAUCUGCCUUUUGCUCUGGUGCCUGUUGCACCUUGGCCACCACUGCCAGAGUGGGAUGGUUCAGGGAAUCCUCCUAAAGACCCUUCUAAUGAUGAUUAACUUUCUUCCAGUCAUGUUCUCCAGAGAUUUCUCUGACUACUAUAGAACAACAAAUUACUUCCUGCUGCAAAACUUUCCAUCACCUGAUGGUUCUUGGAAGUUGAGUGACUCCUGAAAGAGAAGAGGACUUUGGCUUACAAUGUUUGUAUUCCACUGAUGAACAACUCAAUGUUGGUGGCCAUGAACAUGCUGAGCAAAUAUCUGUCCACUUACCCACCACUAGUAUAGGAAUGUUUGUCUACUUGUCUACCUGAUCUGUACAUAUAUCUACUGUCCAGCUACUCACCCAUCUAAACUUUCUGUCUGAUCCAGAAUGAUUAUUUUUCCUGCUUUAUUACAUGUUGACAGUUGAUUCUUACUGCUACUUCUAUUAUAUAAUAAGCUUCCAGUAAAAUAUCUGGAUUGGAAAUAUACUUUGUCUGCUCUAAUGCAACCUCCUCAAUAUAUUGGAUUGAUUAAGUGCCA